CCUACGGGUGGCAGCAGUGAGGAAUAUUGGUCAAUGGACGAGAGUCUGAACCAGCCAAGUAGCGUGAAGGAUGACUGCUCUAUGGGUUGUAAACUUCUUUUAUAUGGGAAUAAAACGUUCCACGUGUGGGAUUUUGUAUGUACCAUAUGAAUAAGGAUCGGCUAACUCCGUGCCAGCAGCCGCGGUAAUACGGAGGAUCCGAGCGUUAUCCGGAUUUAUUGGGUUUAAAGGGAGCGUAGGUGGAUUGUUAAGUCAGUUGUGAAAGUUUGCGGCUCAACCGUAAAAUUGCAGUUGCAACUGGCAGUCUUGAGUACAGUAGAGGUGGGCGGAAUUCGUGGUGUAGCGGUGAAAUGCUUAGAUAUCACGAAGAACUCCGAUUGCGAAGGCAGUUCACUGGACUGCAACUGACACUGAGGCUCGAAAGUGUGGGUAUCAAACAGGAUUAGAUACCCUUGUAGUC
Molecule: ribosomal RNA, 460 nt
Filed under: uncultured bacterium
Lineage: Bacteria
Description: partial 16S ribosomal RNA
Rfam family: Bacterial small subunit ribosomal RNA
Source: RNAcentral